RNAcentral lists this ribosomal RNA (815 nucleotides) under uncultured archaeon. Its description in RNAcentral is "partial 16S ribosomal RNA". The record is from RNAcentral.
GUGAAGCUUACGGCUACCUUGUUACGACUUAACCCCCCUUGCAAAGCUCAAAUUCGAACGCCUCCAAAGAAAGCGCUCUCAUUCAGACCCUACUCGGGUGGUUUGACGGGCGRUGUGUGCAAGGAGCAGGGACGUAUUCACCGCGUUCUGUUGAAACGCGAUUACUACGGAUUCCAGCUUCAUGAGGGCGAGUUGCAGCCCUCAAUCCGAACUAAGAUUGGUUUUAGGAGAUUCCCGUCCCCUUUCGGGGUAGAUACCCAUUGUACCAACCAUUGUAGCUCGCGUGUAGCCCGGGAUAUUCGGGGCAUACUGACCUACCGUUGCCCAUUCCUUCCUCCGCUUUAGCAGCGGCGGUCCCCACAGUGUACCCGUCACUCCAGAGAGUACGCUGGCAACUGUGGGCGUGGGUCUCGCUCGUUGCCUGACUUAACAGGAUGCUUCACAGUACGAACUGACGACGGCCAUGCACCACCUCUCAGCUAAUCCGGCAAAGUCUUCAGCCUGGCCUUCAUAUUGCUGUCGGUCCCGGUAAAAUUUCCGGCGUUGAAUCCAAUUAARCCGCAAGCUCCACCCGUUGUGGUGCUCCCCCGCCAAUUCCUUURAAGUUUCAGCCUUGCGGCCGUACUUCCCAGGUGGCUCGCUUCACGGCUUCCCUACGSACCGACAACGGUCGCACCGUGGGCCGACACCUAGCGAGUAUCGUUUACGGCUAGGRCUACCCGGGUAUCUAAUSCGGUUCGUGCCCUAGCUUUCGUCCCUUGGCGUCAGGCCGUUCUKGUGAGAGCCUUCGCCAYUGGUGGUCCUUCAAGGGUUAC